Molecule: non-coding RNA, 263 nt
Organism: Ictidomys tridecemlineatus (thirteen-lined ground squirrel)
Lineage: Eukaryota; Metazoa; Chordata; Mammalia; Rodentia; Sciuridae
Source: RefSeq, a predicted model, not a curated record
AGUGGUGUUGAGGAUUGAACCCAGGACCUUAAGAAUGCUAGCCACUGAACAUGGUCCUACCCAUUAUGUUCCUGAAUCUCUUCUGUGAUACUUCCACCUCUUCCAUGCAUCCUUACUGGAAAAGGAGUUUCAUGCCAAGCUGGAUAAAAUCACCAUUAAGUAUUAAGCAGACAGUGGAAUCCCAGCUCUAUUACUUACUGGGAGCUCUCAGGCAAGUUACUUACACUCUGUUUCUUCCACUAUAAAAAUAGGUUGUAGACUUA